CUCUCUCUGGCCUUCUGGAACUUGAGCACCUUUGGUUCAACUCUCACCUUCACACCUUUUGGUUCCUCAACGUGCACCAUAUACUCACAAGUCGGUGACCCAACGUUAGUCACAGUCCUCUUAUAUCUCACCGUUUUCAAAUUCGCGCCAUUAACGAGGUUGACCGCGAACGAGGGAUAGUUCAAAUCACCGGGACUCAAAACGACGGCGUUACUAGCACACGUGUAGUUAGUGCCGGAGAACAAGAGUAUUCUCUCACUCGUGUAGUUCAAGCUGCACAAGUAGUUGAGAUAAUCGACGGUGGAGGUAUCGUAUACCAGCCCGGGAUCUACCGCUCGCGUGGGAUCCACGUUUCCCGCUCCAAACGCAAACGCUGUGGCCGCCGAUUCAGCUCCCGCGGCGCCUCUAUCUCCGAUCGGUCGGUUCCUAUUGUCAGUGAUCCUCGCCGUCGUCAUGAUUGCUGAUUUGAUCAUCGCCGGUGACCAGUCCCCGUGAACGGACUUGAUUAGAGCGGCGAUUCCGCUGAUGUGAGGACAAGCCAUGGAGGUUCCCGAGAUGAUAUUGAAUUGGACGCGUCUUGGAUCGGAUCUGAGGAGGCUAGGGCUGCUGAACGGUGACCAUCCGGCGAGGAUGUUCAGACCGGGAGCCGCAAUGUCCGGUUUAGCUAUUUCCGGUCCCGCGACGCUAGGUCCUCUGGAUGAGAACGCGGCUACCAUCGGGGCGGUUGCACCAUACGCGGUUCCUCUGAAUCGAACGGAGGCGGUGGCGUUUGCUGCUCCGGCGAGGUAAUUCAGUAAGGUUUUACCGUCGGAAAAUCCAAGUGAAACGGCCGGUAAAACGUGAGGAUCAGCAAGAAGCUCCUCUCCUUCCGCCUCUGUGCUCACAAGAAGCAUCGCUGCUCCUCCGCUCCGUUUCACCUCUUCUCCUUUGGCCGUUCUGCCGCUGGCUCCUCUUAAGCAAAUGACGAUUUUACCCUCGACGAGUUCUCUCUUGAGCGAGUCCCGGAUACAGAACACGGCUCCGCUUUCUUCUCCAGCUGUUCUGUUAAACGCCAAAG
This is a long non-coding RNA of Arabidopsis thaliana (thale cress), 1057 nucleotides long. RefSeq annotates it as other RNA. The record is from RefSeq. NCBI's taxonomy places the organism in Eukaryota, Viridiplantae, Streptophyta, Magnoliopsida, Brassicales, Brassicaceae. The transcript has a single exon.